Molecule: ribosomal RNA, 414 nt
Filed under: uncultured microorganism
Description: bacterial SSU rRNA
Rfam family: Archaeal small subunit ribosomal RNA
Source: RNAcentral
CAGCCGCCGCGGUAAUACCGGCGGCCCGAGUGGCGGUCACUAUUAUUGGGCUUAAAACGUCCGUAGCCGGGUUGGGAAGUCCUCCGGGAAAUCUGGCCGCUUAACGGUCAGAAUGCCGGAGGAUACUCCCAGCCUAGGGAGCGGGAGAGGCCGAGGGGAUUCCCGGGGUAGGGGGGAAAUCCUAUAAUCCCGGGAGGACCACCUGUGGCGAAGGCGCUCGGCUGGAACGCGUCCGACGGUGAGGGACGAAGGCCAGGGGAGCAAACCGGAUUAGAUACCCGGGUAGUCCUGGCUGUAAACGAUGCGGACUUUGUGUCGGACAAGCUAUGAGCUUGUCCGGUGCCGGAGGGAAACCGUUAAGUCCGCCGCCUGGGGAGUACGGCCGCAAGGCUGAAACUUAAAGGAAUUGGCGGG